Molecule: ribosomal RNA, 654 nt
Filed under: uncultured bacterium
Lineage: Bacteria
Description: bacterial SSU rRNA
Rfam family: Bacterial small subunit ribosomal RNA
Source: RNAcentral
GGGGAUAACUACUGGAAACGGUAGCUAAUACCGCAUAACGUCGCAAGACCAAAGAGGGGGACCUUCGGGCCUCUUGCCAUCGGAUGUGCCCAGAUGGGAUUAGCUUGUUGGUGGGGUAACGGCUCACCAAGGCGACGAUCCCUAGCUGGUCUGAGAGGAUGACCAGCCACACUGGAACUGAGACACGGUCCAGACUCCUACGGGAGGCAGCAGUGGGGAAUAUUGCACAAUGGGCGCAAGCCUGAUGCAGCCAUGCCGCGUGUAUGAAGAAGGCCUUCGGGUUGUAAAGUACUUCCAGCGGGGAGGAAGGGAGUAAAGUUAAUACCUUUGCUCAUUGACGUUACCCGCAGAAGAAGCACCGGCUAACUCCGUGCCAGCAGCCGCGGUAAUACGGAGGGUGCAAGCGUUAAUCGGAAUUACUGGGCGUAAAGCGCACGCAGGCGGUUUGUUAAGUCAGAUGUGAAAUCCCCGGGCUCAACCUGGGAACUGCAUCUGAUACUGGCAAGCUUGAGUCUCGUAGAGGGGGGUAGAAUUCCAGGUGUAGCGGUGAAAUGCGUAGAGAUCUGGAGGAAUACCGGUGGCGAAGGCGGCCCCCUGGACGAAGACUGACGCUCAGGUGCGAAAGCGUGGGGAGCAAACAGGAUUAGAUACCCU